AUAUACUAACAAACUGACUCAAUGAAUGAUACUUCUGUGACCUCAAGAAAUCUACUGAGUUUCUUUGUUAUCUCAGGUAUCUCAUUUAAAAAGAGAUGGGGAUUUGCCUAGGUGAUCUCUGUAGCCCCUACUUAGCAUAGGAGACAGAACACUGGAUUUGGAGAAAAAAAGAAGCAGAUUGAGAUGCAAUGCAACCACUUGAUAACUGUGAUUCUGGUCUUCUCUUGGGUCUUCUGUUUGGAAACACACCCUGGGAGUGCUGAAGGCUUACAGAGCUCUGAGAAUGAACAUGCAACCAGAAAACUCAAGUUAAAAAAAAUAAAUAAGGAAGUGAAAAGAUUUUCUUUGAUCAGGAUUGAGGCUCUACCAGUUCUUUCCCUGAGAACAGCAGAUGGUGUUAUUAUUGAUAUAGAAAAGUCUCUGAAAAAUAAUCAAAAGCAAUGAGAAAGGCUUUGGAGAAAUUAGUGGCUUUCCAUCUGUCUACCAAGUUUCUGGCCCUUUGGGAGAUACCAGCUUGAGUGAGAGAGAUCCUGCUUGAACUGGCUACUGGCAACUGGACAGAAGACCAAAGAACCACUUCUCUACUGGACCUGCUUGAGACAUUUUCUUCUGAAGAUCUUGGCUCAUAUACUGGACUCUAUUUGUGAGAUUGUGUUUGGGGAAACAAUGUAUUCAGCUUAGGUUAAUUAUUUAGAUAGGUUUAUAGGAAUUAGGUUUGGGGAUUAAUUAUAAUAACCUUUCUUUACCCUUUUACCCUCCUUUCCUCUCAACCUUCCCAAAAUAAACCUAAAUUAUUUAUAUGUUUCCUUCUUGUU
This 815-nucleotide long non-coding RNA is filed under the name Monodelphis domestica (gray short-tailed opossum). RNAcentral describes it as "lncRNA (ENSMODG00000044000.1)". The record is from RNAcentral. Lineage: Eukaryota; Metazoa; Chordata; Mammalia; Didelphimorphia; Didelphidae.